Molecule: small RNA, 27 nt
Filed under: Bombyx mori (domestic silkworm)
Lineage: Eukaryota; Metazoa; Arthropoda; Insecta; Lepidoptera; Bombycidae
Description: ovarian small RNA-16388
Source: RNAcentral
GCACGGUGGGAACUCUGUCCCUUACGC